GAAAUGCGAUAAGUAAUGUGAAUUGCAGAAUUCCGUGAAUCAUCGAAUCUUUGAACGCACAUUGCGCCCUCUGGUAUUCCGGGGGGCAUGCCUGUCCGAGCGUCAUUGCGAACCCCUCAAGCACGGCCUGUGUGAUGGGCCCUCCCGCGUCUUGGUCGUCAAGACGGGCCCGAAAAGCAGUGGCGGCUUCGUGGUUAUCCGAUCAGCCAGAGCGUAUGGGGACUUUCUCUCUGUCACACGCCCGCGGCGCGGACCGACGCCUGUCGACCUUUAUUCAUCUUUUUCUCGGUUGACCUCGGAUCAGGUAGGGAUACCCGCUGAACUUAAGC
Molecule: unclassified non-coding RNA, 329 nt
Filed under: plant metagenome
Description: partial contains 5.8S ribosomal RNA, internal transcribed spacer 2, and large subunit ribosomal RNA
Rfam family: 5.8S ribosomal RNA (bases 1-105)
Source: RNAcentral